This 287-nucleotide ribosomal RNA is filed under the name uncultured bacterium. RNAcentral describes it as "partial 16S ribosomal RNA". It matches the Rfam family "Bacterial small subunit ribosomal RNA", at positions 774 to 1067 of the family's 1533-position model. The record is from RNAcentral.
AGGAUAGAUACCCUGGUAGUCCACGCAGUAAACGAUGAUCACUAGAUAUUUGCGACAUACUGUAAGUGUCUUAGCGAAAGCGAUAAGUGAUCCACCUGGGGAGUACGGUCGCAAGAUUGAAACUCAAAGGAAUUGACGGGGGCCCGCACAAGCGGUGGAGCAUGUGGUUUAAUUCGAUGAUACGCGAGGAACCUUACCAGGGCUUAAAUGUAGAUUGACAGUUUGAGAAAUCAGACCUUCUUCGGACAAUUUACAAGGUGCUGCAUGGUUGUCGUCAGCUCGUGUCG